RNAcentral lists this ribosomal RNA (423 nucleotides) under uncultured bacterium. RNAcentral describes it as "bacterial SSU rRNA". It matches the Rfam family "Bacterial small subunit ribosomal RNA", at positions 358 to 774 of the family's 1533-position model. The record is from RNAcentral.
GGAAUCUUCCACAAUGGACGAAAGUCUGAUGGAGCAACGCCGCGUGAGUGAAGAAGGUUUUCGGAUCGUAAAACUCUGUUGUUGGAGAAGAACACGUUUGAGAGUAACUGUUCAGACGUUGACGGUAUCCAACCAGAAAGCCACGGCUAACUACGUGCCAGCAGCCGCGGUAAUACGUAGGUGGCGAGCGUUGUCCGGAAUUAUUGGGCGUAAAGGGAGCGCAGGCGGGAAGGCAAGUCAGUCUUAAAAGUGCGGGGCUCAACCCCGUGAUGGGAUUGAAACUGUCUUUCUUGAGUGCAGGAGAGGAAAGCGGAAUUCCUAGUGUAGCGGUGAAAUGCGUAGAUAUUAGGAGGAACACCAGUGGCGAAGGCGGCUUUCUGGACUGUAACUGACGCUGAGGCUCGAAAGCGUGGGGAGCGAACA